GACGAACGCUGGCGGCGUGCUUAACACAUGCAAGUCGAACGGUAAGGCCCUUCGGGGUACACGAGUGGCGAACGGGUGAGUAACACGUGGGUGAUCUGCCCUGCACUUCGGGAUAAGCCUGGGAAACUGGGUCUAAUACCGGAUAGGACCACUGCCUGCAUGGGUGGUGGUGGAAAGCUUGUGCGGUGUGGGAUGGGCCCGCGGCCUAUCAGCUUGUUGGUGAGGUAACGGCUCACCAAGGCUAUGACGGGUAGCUGGUCUGAGAGGACGACCAGCCUCACUGGGACUGAGACACGGUCCAGAAACCUACGGGUGGCAGGAGUCGAUAAUUUUUCACAAUGGGGGCAACCCUGAUGCGGCGACGCCGCGUGGAGGAUGAAGGUCUUCGGAUUGUAAACUCCUGUCAUGCGAGAACAAGAAAGUGAUAGUAUCGCAAGAGGAAGAGACGGCUAACUCUGUGCCAGCAGCCGCAGUAA
Molecule: ribosomal RNA, 476 nt
Filed under: uncultured bacterium
Lineage: Bacteria
Description: partial 16S ribosomal RNA
Rfam family: Bacterial small subunit ribosomal RNA
Source: RNAcentral